RNAcentral lists this long non-coding RNA (2364 nucleotides) under Sus scrofa (pig). RNAcentral describes it as "lncRNA (ENSSSCG00065017946.1)". Lineage: Eukaryota; Metazoa; Chordata; Mammalia; Artiodactyla; Suidae. The record is from RNAcentral.
CCAUAACUCAGGCUGAUAAAAUGUAUUUCUGAGGCCUUCUAUUUUGCCACAAUCUUACUGUCCCAGGAAUAGCCUGUGUGGGUUUAGCAGAAAUCAGCAGCAAUGCUUGGAAACAAAAGAGAUUAUAUGAAUCCAGUGAUAUACAACCAAACAAUGAGAUACUCUACACUGCAAAAAAAAUGAGAAUAUCUAGUUAUGAAAAAAAAUCUCUAAAAUUCACUUUUAGUAGGUACAGGAGAGUGUAUUCAGUACACAACAUUUAGUUUAAUAAGGCAGAAGAGAAUAGGAACAUAUAACUAUCCUUACUAAUUUAUUAUUUUAUUAUUUUUUUUGCUAUUAAAUGCCUCAUUUAUUUAUUUUUUAUGAUUAUUAUUUUUUUAAUAGUUAUUUCCCUAAUACAAUUUGUUUUCUACUGUACAUACCUGUACACAUUCUAUUUUCUCACAUUAUCGUGCUCCAUCAAAAGUGACCAGACAUAGUUCCCAGUGCUGCACAGCAGGAUCUCAUUGCUAACCCAUUCCAAAGGCAAUAGUUUGUAUCUAUUAACCCCAAGUUCCCCAACCACCCCCUCCCUCCCUCUCCCCCUUGGCAACCACAAGUCUCUUCUCCAAGUCCAUGAUUUUCUUUUCUGUGGAAAGGUUCAUUUGUGCCUUGUAUUAGAUUCCAGAUAUAAAUGAUAUCAUAUGGUAUUUGUCUUUCUCUUUCUGACUUCACUCAGUAUGAGAGUCUCUAGUCCCUCCAUGUUGCUGCAAAUGGCAUUUUUCCUUACUAAUUUAAUCUAUUUAUGUAUCAUUUCCUUGCAUUUGUAAAUAGAAACAAUGAAGGAUUUUUUUUUUAUAAAUAGGUUAUAGAGGACAGAAAUAAAAGCAGGACUUUUCCAAAUAUAUCUUAUUUAAUAAUUUUAGCUAGAGGCAUAUUCACGUACCAAAACAUGUAACUCAAUUAAACAUGUAAAGUUUCAAAGGUGAGACACAAAAACGAAAAACCAACUCUAAUUAUUGAAACAAACUUGACAGAAUUAUAGGAUGGGAAACAAGCUAGAAAAGUAAAUGGAACUUUUCUUAGCCUUGCAUUAAACUUUGUGGAACAUUGUAAAUCAGUGUUUAUUUAUUUCAAAGUAAUAGUAAUUUGAACAUAAUUUCCCCAGAAUCUGAAACAACUGUUAUUUUCUUUUCAACCAAAUUCAAAGCUAAUGCCAUGCAUAUGUUAAUUACAAUAUGCAUUGUUUAUGUGAAACAAGUUAUCUUCUUAUAGCAAUUUGAUAAGCUGAUUGCCAUAUCUCUAAUGGGCAUACAGUUUGGAUAAACCCUGUUUGAUGCCAGUUUGUAACUUUACUCUCACUUUGUUCUCUGAGAUGAAGAAAAGAGCUGUCUCCUUUUAUUUGCGACCUGUGGUCUGACAUUAUAAAGUAGAAUGAAAUGAAGGGCAUGCAUAUUUCAAUUUAGGUGCUUCCUGUUAUAGCAGCAGAAAAAUCCAACCUAAUUUGCUUUACUUUUUUUUUUAACUUAUUAUCUCACAUAACAGAUCCACCCAAGGUAGCGAACCUCCAGAGUUGGUUAGUUGAUCAGGCCAGCGGCAUCACCAGUGAUCAUAAAGGCAGGGAGAGAGAACUCUCUCUUUUCUUGUGCUGUCAGAAGAGCAACUCGACUUUCCCAGAAAGUUCCUGUUGGACUCAUUUCCUUCCCAAGUUAGGAGGACCCUGUUACUACAUCGGUAGCUCAGACAGACCAUGAUUUCACUCUUUGUGAGGUGAACCUGCCUCCUCUGAUGUACAUGGGAAGAAAAGGAGCAAAAUCAUUUUUUUUGCUUUAGAAAGAAUUGUUAGUAUGGGAGAGAACAAUUUCAAGAUAAGGAAAUUAUAGUAUCUGGUACUAUUAGAUUGUUUGCAUUUUGAAUAAUUGCCUCAUAAAUUAUGAUAGAUUCUUGAUGAGAAGCAUCCAUUCAAUGUUUAGUUUUUUUUUUUUAACACUGAGUAUUCAGUGCCAGCCAUCACCACCCCCUCCCUAAAACAGACAAACAUGCAAAGAAGCAGGAGGUUUAGUUUUUUGUUUUUAGAACUUAAAAUAUUGAUUCAUAAUUUUAUGAGGAAAAAUGUAAUUUUCAGGGAAAUAUUUGAAAAGAAAGAUACAUAAUGAGGAAUGACUAGCCUUAUACCAUGUAAAAACUGUUAUACAUCUAUUUUAAUAAGUACUUUUUUGGGUGUUCAUUGAUUCAUCAUAGUUCAUAAACACCAGUAAAACAGAGUCCAGAUUUCUGAAAAAUUGAGGAUUAGUUUAAUGUAGAGUUUCAAGUUGUUAGUUUUUGCCCAAACUCAUUCCUUUUAACAAAAUGAAUCACUGGUAAAUAAACAUUUAAACAUUAAAA